ACUCAAGAAACGGAUUUUAGUCCAACCUAAUGUUAAUCAAAUAGAACAAAAUUUAACCAUAACUUUAGAGUAAUUCAAAUAAGGUACAGCCUAUUUGACACAGGAUACAACCUCAAUUAACGGGUUCUAUAUCUAGCACAACUUAAUCAAGUGGGCCCGAAAGCAGCCACCUUUCAAAAAGCGUCAAAGCUUAGUCAUUCCCUACUACAAUCCCUAAAUUUUUACCCAACCCUUUUACAGUAAUGAGUAAUUCUAUACCCCUAUAGAACUUUUUAUGUUAAAACUAGUAAUAAGAAGAUGACCCUUCUCUUAAAUGCAAACGUACACCAGAAAGGACACACCACUGGUAAUUAACACCCAUGAGCUGCUAAUAACAACGACAUGGAAAACCUCUAUUUUUUAUGAUGUUAACCUAACACAAGAGCAUUAAAAGAAAGAUUUAAAGGAAAAGAAGGAACUCGGCAAACAUUAACCCCGCCUGUUUACCAAAAACAUCGCCCCUCGAACAAACAUGAGGGGUCCAGCCUGCCCAGUGACUCUGUUCAACGGCCGCGGUAUCCUGACCGUGCAAAGGUAGCGUAAUCACUUGUCCUUUAAAUGAGGACUGGUAUGAACGGCACCACGAGGGUUAUACUGUCUCCUUUUUCUAAUCAGUGAAACUGAUCUCCCCGUGAAGAAGCGGGGAUAUUUAUAUAAGACGAGAAGACCCUAUGGAGCUUUAAACGAAAUGACAGCCGCCAACCCCCUCAAACUUCAGAGCACCCACCUUUAUUCUGGCGGCAUGAUUAUUAGUUUUAGGUUGGGGUGACCACGGAGAAUAACUCAACCUCCGUGUUGAAAGAGGACCUUCCCCUAAGCAAAAAGCCACACCUUGCUGCAUCAAUAAAUUGACACCCAUUGACCCAAUAUUUUGACCAACGAACCAAGUUACCCUAGGGAUAACAGCGCAAUCCAUUUUGAGAGCCCAUAUCGACAAAUGGGUUUACGACCUCGAUGUUGGAUCAGGGUAUCCCAGUAGUGCAGCCGCUACUAACGGUUCGUUUGUUCAACGAUUAAAACCCU
This 1062-nucleotide ribosomal RNA is filed under the name Fritziana goeldii (Goeldi's frog). Its description in RNAcentral is "partial 16S ribosomal RNA". It matches the Rfam family "Bacterial large subunit ribosomal RNA", at positions 855 to 2597 of the family's 2925-position model. Lineage: Eukaryota; Metazoa; Chordata; Amphibia; Anura; Hemiphractidae. The record is from RNAcentral.